RNAcentral lists this ribosomal RNA (1314 nucleotides) under Escherichia coli. Its description in RNAcentral is "partial 23S ribosomal RNA". It matches the Rfam family "Bacterial large subunit ribosomal RNA", at positions 911 to 2208 of the family's 2925-position model. Lineage: Bacteria; Pseudomonadati; Pseudomonadota; Gammaproteobacteria; Enterobacterales; Enterobacteriaceae. The record is from RNAcentral.
UGUUUCGGCAAGGGGGUCAUCCCGACUUACCAACCCGAUGCAAACUGCGAAUACCGGAGAAUGUUAUCACGGGAGACACACGGCGGGUGCUAACGUCCGUCGUGAAGAGGGAAACAACCCAGACCGCCAGCUAAGGUCCCAAAGUCAUGGUUAAGUGGGAAACGAUGUGGGAAGGCCCAGACAGCCAGGAUGUUGGCUUAGAAGCAGCCAUCAUUUAAAGAAAGCGUAAUAGCUCACUGGUCGAGUCGGCCUGCGCGGAAGAUGUAACGGGGCUAAACCAUGCACCGAAGCUGCGGCAGCGACACUAUGUGUUGUUGGGUAGGGGAGCGUUCUGUAAGCCUGUGAAGGUGUACUGUGAGGUAUGCUGGAGGUAUCAGAAGUGCGAAUGCUGACAUAAGUAACGAUAAAGCGGGUGAAAAGCCCGCUCGCCGGAAGACCAAGGGUUCCUGUCCAACGUUAAUCGGGGCAGGGUGAGUCGACCCCUAAGGCGAGGCCGAAAGGCGUAGUCGAUGGGAAACAGGUUAAUAUUCCUGUACUUGGUGUUACUGCGAAGGGGGGACGGAGAAGGCUAUGUUGGCCGGGCGACGGUUGUCCCGGUUUAAGCGUGUAGGCUGGUUUUCCAGGCAAAUCCGGAAAAUCAAGGCUGAGGCGUGAUGACGAGGCACUACGGUGCUGAAGCAACAAAUGCCCUGCUUCCAGGAAAAGCCUCUAAGCAUCAGGUAACAUCAAAUCGUACCCCAAACCGACACAGGUGGUCAGGUAGAGAAUACCAAGGCGCUUGAGAGAACUCGGGUGAAGGAACUAGGCAAAAUGGUGCCGUAACUUCGGGAGAAGGCACGCUGAUAUGUAGGUGAAGUCCCUCGCGGAUGGAGCUGAAAUCAGUCGAAGAUACCAGCUGGCUGCAACUGUUUAUUAAAAACACAGCACUGUGCAAACACGAAAGUGGACGUAUACGGUGUGACGCCUGCCCGGUGCCGGAAGGUUAAUUGAUGGGGUCAGCGCAAGCGAAGCUCUUGAUCGAAGCCCCGGUAAACGGCGGCCGUAACUAUAACGGUCCUAAGGUAGCGAAAUUCCUUGUCGGGUAAGUUCCGACCUGCACGAAUGGCGUAAUGAUGGCCAGGCUGUCUCCACCCGAGACUCAGUGAAAUUGAACUCGCUGUGAAGAUGCAGUGUACCCGCGGCAAGACGGAAAGACCCCGUGAACCUUUACUAUAGCUUGACACUGAACAUUGAGCCUUGAUGUGUAGGAUAGGUGGGAGGCUUGGAAGUGUGGACGCCAGUCUGCAUGGAGCCGACCUUGAAAUACCACCCUUU